Molecule: non-coding RNA, 135 nt
Filed under: Paenibacillus sp.
Lineage: Bacteria; Bacillati; Bacillota; Bacilli; Caryophanales; Paenibacillaceae
Also listed under: 1 other name
Description: Glycine sequence
Rfam family: Glycine riboswitch aptamer
About the family: This family represents the bacterial glycine riboswitch. Glycine riboswitches usually consist of two metabolite-binding aptamers domains with similar structures in tandem.
Source: RNAcentral
AAGAUGAUGGCAGGGAGAGUCUUAAGCAUCGCUUGGUCACGUUUAAUGAGGAUGCUUUUGCGCCGAAGGAGCAAGCUUUAUGGCUGGUCGAGUCUUAAAGUUAAUCUCUCAGGUACAAGGAACCGCCAUCGGACG